UGCCGGGUCGUCUAAUGGUAGGACACAUGCCUCUGGAGCAUGGUAUUGGGGUUCGAGUCCCUGCCCGGCAG
Molecule: transfer RNA, 71 nt
Filed under: Candidatus Vogelbacteria bacterium RIFOXYD1_FULL_51_18
Lineage: Bacteria; Candidatus Vogeliibacteriota
Also listed under: 3 other names
Description: tRNA-Gln
Rfam family: tRNA
About the family: Transfer RNA (tRNA) molecules are approximately 80 nucleotides in length. Their secondary structure includes four short double-helical elements and three loops (D, anti-codon, and T loops).
Source: RNAcentral